Molecule: ribosomal RNA, 765 nt
Filed under: uncultured Streptococcus sp.
Lineage: Bacteria; Bacillati; Bacillota; Bacilli; Lactobacillales; Streptococcaceae
Description: bacterial SSU rRNA
Rfam family: Bacterial small subunit ribosomal RNA
Source: RNAcentral
GACGAACGCUGGCGGCGUGCCUAAUACAUGCAAGUAGAACGCUGAAGAGAGGAGCUUGCUCUUCUUGGAUGAGUUGCGAACGGGUGAGUAACGCGUAGGUAACCUGCCUUGUAGCGGGGGAUAACUAUUGGAAACGAUAGCUAAUACCGCAUAACAAUGGAUGACACAUGUCAUUUAUUUGAAAGGGGCAAUUGCUCCACUACAAGACGGACCUGCGUUGUGUUAGCUAGUAGGUGAGGUAACGGCUCACCUAGGCGACGAUACAUAGCCGACCUGAGAGGGUGAUCGGCCACACUGGGACUGAGACACGGCCCAGACUCCUACGGGAGGCAGCAGUAGGGAAUCUUCGGCAAUGGGGGCAACCCUGACCGAGCAACGCCGCGUGAGUGAAGAAGGUUUUCGGAUCGUAAAGCUCUGUUGUAAGUCAAGAACGAGUGUGAGAGUGGAAAGUUCACACUGUGACGGUAGCUUACCAGAAAGGGACGGCUAACUACGUGCCAGCAGCCGCGGUAAUACGUAGGUCCCGAGCGUUGUCCGGAUUUAUUGGGCGUAAAGCGAGCGCAGGCGGUUUGAUAAGUCUGAAGUUAAAGGCUGUGGCUCAACCAUAGUUCGCUUUGGAAACUGUCAAACUUGAGUGCAGAAGGGGAGAGUGGAAUUCCAUGUGUAGCGGUGAAAUGCGUAGAUAUAUGGAGGAACACCGGUGGCGAAAGCGGCUCUCUGGUCUGUAACUGACGCUGAGGCUCGAAAGCGUGGGGAGCGAACAGG